This 253-nucleotide ribosomal RNA is filed under the name uncultured bacterium. RNAcentral's name for it is "partial 16S ribosomal RNA". It matches the Rfam family "Bacterial small subunit ribosomal RNA", at positions 524 to 776 of the family's 1533-position model. The record is from RNAcentral.
UACGAAGGGUGCAAACGUUGCUCGGAAUUAUUGGGCGUAAAGCGCACGUAGGCGGCUUUGCAAGUCGGAUGUGAAAGCCCUCGGCUCAACCAAGGAAGUGCAUCCGAAACUGCAGAGCUUGAGUACUUAAGAGGAUCGCGGAAUUCCCGGUGUAGAGGUGAAAUUCGUAGAUAUUGGGAAGAACACCGGUGGCGCAAGCGACUUGCUGGGCCGUAACUGACGCUGAGGAACGAAAGCUAGGGUAGCGAAUGGG